GUAAUCGGAUUCGCAUUAAUCCACAUGUGUUGCUGUGGGUUGGAGUAGAACUUGAACUAAAUUCCAUCCCAAUCCACUCCAACACAUGUGGAUUGAGGUGUGUCGGUG
RNAcentral lists this microRNA precursor (108 nucleotides) under Sorghum bicolor (sorghum). RNAcentral describes it as "MIR5565 microRNA precursor family". It matches the Rfam family "MIR5565 microRNA precursor family". The record is from Rfam by way of RNAcentral. Lineage: Eukaryota; Viridiplantae; Streptophyta; Magnoliopsida; Poales; Poaceae.